UGCAGAGGAAAGGGUUGGCAGAGAGGCUCCAAGUCAAAAAAACAAGGGAAGAACAGCAGAAACUGUAUCCUCUUUAAAGUCCAGGUUAUAACAAUGUUGGUAUGUUGUAUAACUCUGAGCAGUUGUCUGGGUGUAACCAAAUGUAUCCCAGCACUACCACUAUGUCAGGGUUCCCUCCCCACUCUGAACUAUAGGGUACAGAUGUGAGGAUCCGCAUGAAAGACUCCCUAAGUUUAUCUCUACCAGCUUAGGUUA
Long non-coding RNA from Dermochelys coriacea (leatherback sea turtle), 255 nucleotides. RefSeq lists it as uncharacterized. The transcript has 4 exons. The record is from RefSeq and is a predicted model, not a curated record. Lineage: Eukaryota; Metazoa; Chordata; Testudines; Dermochelyidae.